Triticum urartu is the source of this 195-nucleotide non-coding RNA. The record is from Rfam. Lineage: Eukaryota; Viridiplantae; Streptophyta; Magnoliopsida; Poales; Poaceae.
AUAACUUUCUUGACCUUUCGACUAAGAUCAAGUGUAGUAUCUGUUCUUAUCAGUUUAAUAUCUGAUACGUGGAUUUACAUGUCAAUAUGAUAUUAAAUUAUUAUUUUUGUGAAGGAGGAUCCACAUGUAGCUUGCUACAUGGAUCCUUGAGUAUCACCCUGGUGUUGCACUACUGCUACGGCUUGUGCACCCCAA